GUGAUUUCUGCCCAGUGCUCUG
This 22-nucleotide non-coding RNA is filed under the name Arabidopsis thaliana (thale cress). The record is from RNAcentral. RNAcentral also lists the same sequence under 1 other name. Lineage: Eukaryota; Viridiplantae; Streptophyta; Magnoliopsida; Brassicales; Brassicaceae.